Molecule: unclassified non-coding RNA, 142 nt
Filed under: Vishniacozyma carnescens
Lineage: Eukaryota; Fungi; Basidiomycota; Tremellomycetes; Tremellales; Bulleribasidiaceae
Source: RNAcentral
GAAACCUCACCCCACUUGGGUUUUUGCCUGAGCGGUGGUGUAUUGGGUGUUGCCUUGCCAAAGGCUCGCCUUAAAAACAUAAGCACCUUGGAUGUAAUACGUUUCAUCCUUCUGGGUGGCUGAUAACCCCACAUAUUCAUGA